AGCUCCGGUGGCCUAAUGGUUAGAGCAUCCGCCUUGGAUGCGAAGUUUGCGUGUUCGAAUCUCGACCGAGCUU
Molecule: non-coding RNA, 73 nt
Organism: Potamilus streckersoni
Lineage: Eukaryota; Metazoa; Mollusca; Bivalvia; Unionida; Unionidae
Source: the annotation of a GenBank genome assembly